Molecule: long non-coding RNA, 11075 nt
Filed under: Volvox carteri
Lineage: Eukaryota; Viridiplantae; Chlorophyta; Chlorophyceae; Chlamydomonadales; Volvocaceae
Description: long non-coding RNA (VCAR_LNC002433)
Source: RNAcentral
GCACCUCUGCAUACCACAUCAUGGCGUCACAGACGAAGUCACCGAUGGGGGCCUGGCCCAGACGGAUAACGUUCUUGUCGGAAACCAGGGUGUGCGACAGAGUGCCCAGUGCGCAGGAGGCGGUGGAGGUGGGCGCCGCGGAGCAGAUGCCGCUGCUGCCGCCCAGGUCGCAGCGGUUGAUGCGGCCCUCGGCAGCAGCGUAGCCGGUGACCUGCAGGGACAGGAAGGAAGAGACAGGCAUGAGGUGCAGUUCGCACGAGCAGGGACUAAUAACAGGGAGCGCAAUGGGAAAGCGAGGGUCGUGUUGUACCACGUCUUAUCGCAGGAAAAGAACCGAUCGGCGGAUGACAGGGAGAUGAAGGCAAAAAUAGCAGGGCCGCUGGUGAAGCUAUACCACCCUGUAACAAUAUCAUAUAUACAUAAUGAUGUGUGAAACAGGGGGGUGUAUCUUCGCCCGUGACAGCUACCCUGCGAACCCUGCCUUCCCCGGUAUUUCGGGGCACCCUCAUCCAGUUACCCUAGUCAACUUCUCAGUGGAUCGCUCAGGUUCCGCACCAAACACCAGCAUCCAACGGAAUCUGCCGGGUCGACAGCGGGCCCAACUCCAUUCCUGGUUGGCUCGCAGGUUAACUUUAUCCCAGGUCACAACCAUCCAUCAGGGGCGCAAUACCUUCCACUAUCGGACAAAUUUUUGACCCUUACGGGUAUCGAUCCCGGGAUCUCCCGGGGGCAAUGGUUGCGCGUUACCAAUAGUGCCAAACCCUAGCAUAUACAUGAUGUAUACACACCUGCCUCUCCCUGAUCUAUAUAAUAAGCCUCACCACCCGGCCCGCCAUUAGACGCCACCGUUGAUCCGGCAAAGUCCACGGGAUAAUGCUGGUGGUGGGUGCUGAACCCCCAAACAUUCACUGACUUCGCAGAAGUCGCCACACAUGCGUGAUGAUGAGGAGGAUGAGGGUGGUGCCCCGAAACAUCGGGGAAGGUGCUUGGGGGACUGCCGGGCUAAUGGCCACGGGUGAAGUUGUUAUACCCCCCACUACUUCACACAAUCAGUGAUCGUGGUUUUUAGAAACUUACAGGCGAAUUGGACAGGAACUCUACCACGGCAUCCACGACGGCAGGUCCUUCGGCCAAGACCGUCUCGGCGGCCGCAAGGACCGCGUAGCCAUCACCACCUAGUCAGAUGGGCAUGGGGGGACCCGGCGGGGAAGGGCGGAAUGUGAGCUGCAUGAGGGAGGAUGCAUAUAACUGGUUCGAAAUGCGAAGAUGCGGUGCAACAUCACUGGCAGCGCAACGGCCCAGGGGAAAGCAACGAAAGAGAACCUCAUCGCGGGAACCUAUUCAUCCUUUUCAUUGCCAGCAGGGUUUAACACCCAACUGUUAUGUACCGUGCACUGUGGUCAUAUAUGUAUGUGUGUAGAAUCCUGGGCAUAUCAUGGGAUCUGCAUCCGCCGAUCGGUAUUUUCUGAAGCCGUGAUAUAACAAUAUGCACGUUUUUGCCAAGCUUCUCAAUGCGUUUCAUUUCCUAAUGAGAACAACCAUGCCUGUAUGUCUGUAAUGAGGCAUUUCCGUAUAAGCUUCCGCAUCUGUACACUUACCCGCUGCCAUAUAAUCGUUGGUCACCAAUGCAUACUUGGCGCAAGGAUCGAUGGGCGAGUACGAACCGUCAGCGUUCUUGACCUCGAUCGCCGACACGCGCUGGUUGACCGGCUUGGUUGCGUCGUACGCAAAACGGAAGCCGCCCACCUGUCGAAUAAGGUGCCACGGCGCACGCGGUGGCCAACAAGUUUUGCUUAAGACCAGUGAGCUUCAAUACGUACUGCUACGUAAUUUUUAUUCCACGAAGAUUCCUGUCCUUGCUGGAGGACAUCGUUACAGACUUCAGCUUUGGCCUUUAGUGCCGAGUUGGAAGCUACAUCCCCCAUCACACACCAGUCAAAGGCCCAGGGGUGUGGCUGCUACUGCUGACGCUGGUGAUAAUGCUGCCGCUGGCGGUACUGCUGACGCCGUUGGUAUUUUGCUGCUGCUACUGCUGUUCUUACUGGUGCUACAGCUACAGUUACAGUUACAGUUACUCCUACUGCUAGUGAUACUGCUAUUGUCACCGUUACUGUUAGUGUUGCUGCUGUUGCUGCCAACUGGCAACCCCACCUGUGCAAAUUGCCCGAGUGCCUCGCCCCCGGCAAUGUUGCCCGCCACGCUGUUCUCGAGAGCUGACUUGAGGCCCGUGACGGAAAUGCUCUUGACCACAAGGGUAUUGCCGAACGGCAGAGCGGCCGCGAUUUGACCUGCGGCAUAGGCAUUUUGCAGGGCGUUACGGUUUGACACUGUGCUUACAAAGUGCAUAGCGAUAUUGAUACUGCAUAUGUGUUAAGUGUGCUUGUUAUGUUUGUAUGUGUCAAUACGUGUACAUAUAAUAAUGCUUCCACAAAUAAUGACAAUAAUAGUAAUUGUAAUAAAUAAUAAUUAAUAUGACAGUUAUAAAUCUAAAAUACAUGUAAAAUACAACUUGAGGUGCGUUCAAAAAUGUAACAAGUGUGAGCCCGUGCGAGCCCAGCCAAGGGCCCAAGGGUCAGACAGAAGGCAGAUCGAGGUAACAAGAUUACAAACCGCACAUAAGGUAAUUAUUGGUCUGCUAAAGAAGGAAAGGGUGGGUUUAAAGCCAUAGCAGUGUGCAGUACGAGUGCAGUUAGAAGAUCGAGCGAAGAAGAUGGGCAGAGAAAAGAGAUGGAAUAACCAAGAUGUUAGGAACAUGAAACACCAUUCCACAAAUUUGAAGAAUGAACAGACGCCCCCUACGGAACGGGACACGUAGCCUUUUCCUUAGAGACGCUGUCUUUAAUGAAGACUGUGCCUCUUGUUUUGUUCAACAAUUUGUAGGACUAUGAAUUAUCGACCUACAAACGGUAGGGACAUGGUAGCUGGGAUGCAGUGCACAUACAUACAGCCCGCGCAAUGAGUACGGUGUUGUACAUUCAGCAUACCUCCGGUCACCAGUCCAGCAGGGAUGUCCGCGCGAAUCGAACCAGAGUUCACCAUGCACAAAUUCGGCCUCGCGCCUGUAGUCAUCUGUUCAUACACGCCACCGUGAGGAGGGAAGAUGGGGGCAAGGAGUAUGCGGGUGGGCUUCCGUUGGCCAAAACACACGAUUAUUUACGACAACACGUGUUCCCGUACACGUACUGCUGCACGCUGUACAAAACUAGAUUGCAGAACCACAGACACACACAGAGGAUAGCAUCACCCGAGUUGGUCCUGCAGGCCGUCUGGAUGCCCGAUGCGGGUUUUAGUACAUGCGGAUUUCGGAGCUGAUUUCACUUUUCCACAGGGCCCCCGGGGGUCCCGUCCUCCAUUACCACACGUGAACCUUCGCGCACCUCCGCAUACCACAUCAUGGCGUCACAGACGAAGUCACCGAUGGGGGCCUCGCCCAGGCGAACAGUGGCCUUGUCGGAAACCAGGGUGUGCGACAGAGUGCCCAGUGCGCAGGAGGCGGUGGAGGUGGGCGCCGCGGAGCAGAUGCCGCUGCUGCCGCCCAGGUCGCAGCGGUUGAUGCGGCCCUCGGCAGCAGCGUAGCCAGUGACCUGCAGGGACAGGAAGGAAGAGGCGUGAGGGCCAUCGGGCAUGAGGAAGACAUGUGUGAGAAGAGCUAAACAUUAGAGGGGAAGAAAAGAUGGGAGAAGGGAGGAACGUGUGCUACGAACGAAAGCAUGUGUGAUGGAGGUGGUCGGAGGCGGCUUAAGGAUAUGCCAGGAAUAGAGAUGAUAAUCGCGAGAUCAUACGAUCAAAUCUUGCUUGAAACAAGACAAAUCAGGGAUAUCAGCGUUAUAAUCCUAUGCGCUGUCCAGGGAUCAAGUAGUAUGAUCAGCCCGAGAUAAGUUCUCAAUGUUGCCUUCGACAUCUGUCUGCGGAUUGAAACGUUCUCCCUCCAAACACAAGCCAUUGAACCAUUUCAAGGUGGAUUACAUGGCGCCGGCGUGAACUUUGCUACGUUAUGCACCACCCUCGUAGUGCGUGAUCCCCAUCACCAGCAGGGGUGAAAUACAAAUGAGAUUAUUCAGUAGGAACAAUAAUGCAGUUGCACUGACCAAAGCUUGGCGUGGGUUAAGGCCGGGGCUCGGGAAUUGAGGGGUAUUUCUGCCCCUAUAUGCCCCUGGGCAACAUCCACUAGGAUAACGCACUUUAAACAAGCACACAAGCACACAUGCAUACACACUAACUUGCGAGCUGACCAGGAACUAAGUUGAGGCGCCGUUGAUCCGCUAGAUUUGGUUGGAUGCUGGUGGUGAGUUGGGAACCCAACGAAUACACUCUGAAUUUGGAUGGGGUGAAUGGAUUAGGGUGCCCCUCUCGCAGGGGAGAGCAGGGAACUGCCUCGGGAAAGGGGGCCGCUGGUGAAGCUUAACCACCCUGUAACAACAUACACAUCCUGCACGCCUCUUGUCCUUCUCCCUCCAUCCCCUACUCGGCCGCAUGCUCGGGUCACACUGAUUUACCAGGCUGGCGCAAAAUCAAUCAGCAAGUAAGGGUUGUAUUCAUAAUAAAAAAAACUCACGGGUGACGUGUACGACAGGAAUUCCUCCACAGCCUCCACAGCAAAAAGCCCCGUCUCCGCUACCGUCUGCGCCGCCCUGAUGGUUAGGUAGCCAUCGCCGCCUGACCAGAGGGAGUGGGGAGGGCCGGGGAAGGGCGGAGAGGGAUAGGAAAGGUAUGGAAUGUAAGGGUGUAUUGGUAGGCCAACAUCAACCCGCAUGGCAUUACAGACCCUAGCACAAGAUCGUGCUAUGCUAGCACAAGAUAGUGCUAUGCUAGCACAAGAUAGUGCUAUGCUAGCACAAGAUAGGGCUAUGCUAGCACAAGAUAGGGCUAUGCUAGCACACGAUACUGUGCUAGGGGGCUCAACAACUCGGCAUCAGGCCCCAAAGCAGCAGCAGUAGCUGCAGCAGCUGCGAAUCCAGUAUGACCCACAGCAGUUUGAAAGUCAGCGGAGGAGGUCAACAGAAGGACAACUUAGGCAGAUGGUGGUUUCUCGCUUUCAAAGAAAGGUCGUAGUGACAGCAGUGUAACAACCAACACGCUGGGCGACGCUGCCAUCACCUGUGUCAACGGGUAUCCUAAUAUUAGGGCAACCACCGCAUCUAGGCCGUACAGCUGUACGGAGCCCGUUGCAAAAGGCCGUGGGAUUCACAGUGUUACCCUAAUAUGUACGGCAGCUGAUGGGUAGCGACGCUACCAUGGUGUGUGUGUAUAUAACAUCACUAGCAGGCACGUGAUGUGUUCUUUUGUCGCCGUCAUACUGCUUGUGUGCCGCCGAUGAUGUUUAUGUGGCCCCCCAACCCCCAUGCUCUUUGUGCCGUUCAAGCCGUACACUUACCCGCCGCCAUAUAAUCGUUGGUCACCAAGGCAUACUUGGCGCAAGGAUCGAUGGGCGAGUACGAACCGUCCGCGUUCGCAACCUCGAUCGCCGACACGCGCUGGUUGCGCGGCUUGGUGGCGUCGUACGCAAAACGGAAGCCGCCCACCUGUCGAAUGAUGUGAAAGCAUGUAGUUACAUUAAAAAACACAGGAAGCUGAGGAAAGCCUUUGUGCACGACCCGGGUGUUUUUUGAGCCUGCUAUUAAGACUACUGCUACCAUCAGCCGUUUCAUUUAUCAAACAGUCGUGCACGCAUAAACGCCGGUACGGCAGACGGCGUCAGGGCAAGAGCUUUGCCCGAGCUUUUUGAGGGAGAACCCGUAGUCUCGUUGAGCUGAUAAUGUCUGUUCCGUCAUUUUCUUCUUAAACUGUAUUUAACUUAAGCAGUGCCGUACAUAUUUCACCACCGGUUUCUUCACGCGGCCCUAAGGUUGGGCACCGGUACCGAUCAGCGGCCCGCCUGGUGUCGCGGUCUUAAAGGAACACCCCAUCGCAGGACGGAUGCGGUUAAUAGUGCCAACUGCCUACUGCCAACUGCCAACUGCCAACUGCCAAAUCGCAGUACGGAAAUGUACAAGUACCAUAGCCUAGUGUCGCCGUCAUGUACCUCGUACACGGCCACCUCACCUGUGCAAACUGCCCGAGGGCCUCGCCCCCGGCAAUGUUGCCCUCAACGCUGUUCUCGAGAGCCGAUUUGAGGCCCGUGACGGAAAUGCUCUUGACCACAAGGGUAUUGCCGUACGGCAGGGCGGCAGCGAUUUGGCCUGCGGUUAGGUGUUUUUAUGUUAUUUUGCACAACACCGUUUUAUUUUAAGUAAUGCAACACUGACACUGUUUUCUGUGUGUGCUGCUAGUUCGGACCGUGUGUUGCAUGAACUGCAUGGGAAUUGUGUCUGUAUUGCGUGACCUUGUCUCCGAUAUGUAAGUGGAGACGGUGGGUGCAUGGUAGCUGCGAUGCAGUGUACAUAUUUAGAACAUGCCUACUGUGUACGACGUCGUACAUUCAGCAUACCUCCGGUCACCAGUCCAGCAGGGAUGUCCGCGCGAAUUGAACCAGAGUUCACCAUGCACAACUUCGGCCGCACGCCUGUAGUCAUCUGUUCAUAGACGCCACAGUUACAGGAAAAGGAGGGAACAGGGGGGCCAAGAGAUAUGCGGGUGGGUUUCCGUUGGCCAAAACACACACACACGAUCAUUUACGACAACUUACAUAUGUUCCCGUGAACAAAAUGCCGCACACUGUACAAAACUCGAUUGCAGAACCACAGACACACAUAGAGGAUAGCAUCAGCCGAGUUGGUCCUGCAGGCCGUCUGGAUGCCCGAUGCGGGUUUUAGAACAUGCGGAUUCGGAGCUGAUUUCACGUUUUUCACAGGGCCCCAGGGGUCCCGUCCUCCAUUACCACACGUGAACCUUCGCGCACCUCGGCAUACCACAUCAUGGCGUCACAGACGAAGUCACCGAUGGGGGCCUCGCCCAGGCGAACAGUGGCCUUGUCGGAAACCAGGGUGUGCGACAGAGUGCCCAGUGCGCAGGAGGCGGUGGAGGUGGGCGCCGCGGAGCAGAUGCCGCUGCUGCCGCCCAGGUCGCAGCGGUUGAUGCGGCCCUCGGCAGCAGCGUAGCCGGUGACCUGCAGGGACAGGAAGAGGGAGCCGUGAGGGCCAUCGGGCAUGAGAAAGACGCGUGUGUGUGCACUGCGGCUCCAACCGCCCCACAUACAACGUAAUCACUAGUCACGCCAUACGUGCUUUAGACGCUAUAAAUGUUUAGACGCUAUACCUAUCUACCAUACAGGAUAUGCUCGGUACGCGACUUAUCGUACACGCGGCAUAUGCUACAUAUCCUACAUAUGCUACAUAUGCUACACAAGGGUUAUAGCGUAUAAGCGACCUAUGAGACACCAGAGGCACACUCGGUAGCAACAGCGGUAAAAGUACACGUUCCAAAGCCUGGCGUGAAUGGGGGCGCGGGGACCUGCUGAGGGGCGAAUGGGUCCCCGCGUAUCCCUUGGUACCACCUACGGGGGAUUCAACGCGCACAUACACACACACAGACAGACACACAGACACACAGACACACACACACACAGCCACGCACACACACAGACACACACACACAGACACACAGACACACACACACAGCCACGCACACACACACACAGACAGACACACAGACACACACACACACAGACACACACACACAGACACACACAGACACACACACAGACACACACACAGACACACACACAGACACACACACACACACACACACACACACAGACACACACACAUAUAUGCGUCCGCAUCCCUUCUCACUGCUAGGUUACAUGUCAGGGUCGGGCUGCUUUAAAAGGCUGCACACAAAACCAGUCGGCAAGUAGUGGUGGUUACUGUGCGCAUGGAGUACUCACAGGUGAACUGUACGACAGGAACUCCUCCACAGCAUCCACAACAAAGAGCCCCGUCACCGCUGCCGUCUGCGCUGCCCUGAUGGUCAGGUAGCCAUCGCCGCCUGACCAGAGGGAGUGGGGAGGGCCGGGGAAGGGCGGAGAGGUAGGUUAAGGGUGGGAUGUAAGGGUGUAUUGGUAGGCCAACAUCACCCCCAUUUCAGGACAGACCCUAGCACAGGACAGUGCUACGUGUACUGUGCUAGGGGACUCAACAACUCGGUAUCCGGGCCCCAAAGCAGCAGCAGUAGCUGCAGCAGCUGCGAAUCCAGAUUGACCCACACCAAAAGUUUGGAAAACAGCAAAGGAGUUCAACAGGGGAAGAAGUAACGCAGAUGAUGGUUUUCCUCAAUGGCAAAGUAAGGUCGUUGAGGCAAAAGUGUAACGAACCAACACGCUGGGCGACGCUGCCAGCAUCCGUGUCAACGGGUACCCUAAUAUUAGGGCAACCACCGCAUCUAGGCCGUACAGCUGUACGGAGCCCGUUGCAAAAGGCUGUUGGAUUCACAGCGUUACCCUAAUAUGUACGGCACCUGAUGGGUAGCGACGCUACCAUGCUACAGUACUAUAUAUUACAGAAAGGUGUGUAUGUAUUUGUGUGUAUGUGUGUAUGUGUGUAAAACAUCACUAGCAGGCACGUGAUGGUGUUCCAUUGUCGCACUCACAUUGCUUGUGCGCCGCCGUUAAUGUUUGUGUGGGGGCCCCUACCCCCUAUGUUCUUUGUGCCGUUCUAGCGAUAUCCUCCGGACACCUGAGCAGCACAGCCCCCCAUCCGUCAAGUCACACACUUACCCGCCGCCAUAUAAUCGUUGGUCACCAAUGCGUACUGGGCGCAAGGAUCGACGGGCGAGUACGAACCGUCCCCGUUCGCAACCUCAAUGGCCGACACGCGCUGGUUGACCGGCUUGGUGGCGUCGUACGCAAAACGGAAGCCGCCCACCUGUCGAAUAAAGUGAAAGGAUGCAGUUACAUUAACAAACACAGCAAGCUGAAGGAAGCCAUUGUGGACGAGCCUCCGUACUUGUUUCCGUACGCCAUGUCAAGAGCUAGGGUGUUUGGACCUGCUAUUAAGACUUCUACCGUCGGCCCGUUCACACAUCAAGCAGUCGUACACGCAUUAACGCCGGUACGGCAGAUGGCCCUCGGGCCUUAACCCUUGCCGAGCCCUGUGGAAUAAAAUCCGUAGUCUCGUUCAGCUGAUCUUGUCUGUUCCCACCGUUUUCCUUCCUAAAGUGCAUAUCAUCUUACACAGUGCCGUACAUAUUUCCCCUCCGGUUUCUUCACUCAGCCUCUAAGCUGCCGUAAGGCUGGACACCGGUACCGAUCAGCGGCCCGGAUGGUGUUGCGGUCUUGAAGGAACACCCCAUCGCAGGACGGAUGCGGUUAAUAGUGCCAACUGCCUACUGCCAACUGCCAACCGCCAACUGCCAAAUUGCAGUACGGAAAUGUAUUUGCAUGGCCUAUUGUCACCAUCAUGUACCCCGUACACGGUAUCACCUCACCUGUGCAAACUGCCCGAUCGCCUCGCCCCCGGCAAUGUUGCCCUCAACGCUGUUCUCGAGAGCCGAUUUGAGGCCCCUGACGGAAAUGCUCUUGAUCACCAGGGUGUUGCCGUACGGCAGGGCGGCCGCGAUUUGGCCUGCGGUGUUGGUGUUCCCAUGUGUCAUUUUUUGUUCAACACCGUUUAUUAAAAACUUAUUAAACUAAGUAAUCAAUUAUUGACACUGUUUUCUGUGUGAGCUGCUAGUUCGGACCGUAUGUUGCAUGAACUGCAUUGGAAUCGUUGUUGAUGGGGUUGUGUUACACUGUGGGCGGCUCGUCCCGAUAAAGGACGAGCACGGGGGGCCUGACCGGGGACCGAAACACAGUGCAGGGUUGUAGGCUGUUACAGAGUGGGAGGCUUCUGAGCCACUUGAACACAAAGGAAUUGUGCCUGCAUUGCGUGACCCUGUCUACGAUAUGUAUGUACCGUCUCCGCAUACACAUCGGAAACGGUAAGUGCCCGGGUAGUUGCGAUGCAGCGGACACAUACAUUGAACAUGCCUACUGUGUACGACGCCGUACAUUCAGCAUACCUCCGGUCACCAGUCCAGCAGGGAUGUCUGCGCGAAUCGAACCAGAGUUCACCAUGCACAAAUCCGGCCUCACGCCUGUCGUCAUCUGUUCAUAUACGCCACCAUUUUAAGAAAAAGGAGGGAAGAGGGGUGCAAGGAGUAUAAGGGUGGGAGUCCCUUUGGGACAAGGCUUGGGAACAAUGGACGGCACGCAGCAGGACGGCACUGGCCCCAGCAUGGCGUAUUAUUCGCAUGCAGGUACGGCAGCACAGAUCCAUUUUCUGCGAUUUACAGAUGAUGCAUGCGUUUGUUUAUACAGAGCGUGUACGCCAUCCAAGAACCGCUUGCAGAUAGCAUCAGUCGAGUUGGUCAAAUAAGCUGGUCUUGCAGACACGCGUCUAGAUGCCCCGUGUCAGCGUGGGUGGGUUUUAGAACAUGCGGAUUUGGAGCUGAUUUCACGUUUGUUACAGGGCCCCGGGGGUCCCGUCCCCCACUACUACAUGUGAACCUUCGCGCACCUCGGCAUACCACAUCAUGGCGUCACAGACGAAGUCACCGAUGGGGGCCUCGCCCAGGCGAACAGUGGCCUUGUCGGAAACCAGGGUGUGCGACAGAGUGCCCAGUGCGCAGGAGGCGGUGGAGACGGGCUCCGCGGAGCAGAUGCCGCUGCUGCCGCCCAGGUCGCAGCGGUUGAUGCGGCCCUCGGCAGCAGCGUAGCCGGUGACCUGCAGGGACAGGAAGAGAGAGCCGUGAGGACCAUCGGGCAUGAGAAAGACGCGUGUGUGUGCACUGCGGCUCCAACCGCCCCACAUACAACGUAAUCACUAGUCACGCCAUACGUGCUUUAGACACUAUAAAUGUUUAGACGCUAUAUCUAUCUACCAUACAGGAUAUGCUCGGUACGCAACUUAUCGUACACGCGGCAUAUGCUACAUAUGCUACACAAGGGUUAGCGUAUAAACGACCUAUGAGACACCAGAGCCACACUCGGUAGCAACAACGGUAAAAGUACACGUUCCAAAGCCUGGCAUGAAUGGGGGCGCGGGGACCUGCUGAGGGGCGAAUGGGUCCCUGCGUAUCCCUUGGUACCACCUGCGGGGGAUUCAACGCGCACAUACACACACACACACACACACACACAGACACACGCACACACAGAC